UGAGGAAUAUUGGUCAAUGGUCGGAAGACUGAACCAGCCAUGUCGCGUGCGGGAGUAAGGCUCUAUGGGUCUUAAACCGCUUUUAUACGGGAAGAAAACGUAUUAUGUAUAAUACACUGACCUAACCGUACGAAUAAGCAUCGGCUAACUCCGUGCCAGCAGCCGCGGUAAUACGGAGGAUGCAAGCGUUAUCCGGAUUUAUUGGGUUUAAAGGGUGCGUAGGCGGGCAAUUAAGUCAGUGGUGAAAUAUUUCGGCUCAACCGAACGACUGCCAUUGAUACUGAUAGUCUUGAGUAUGAUCGAGGGAAGCGGAAUGCGGCGUGUAGCGGUGAAAUGCAUAGAUAUGCCGCAGAACACCAAUUGCGAAGGCAGCUUUCCGGGUCACCACUGACGCUGAGGCACGAAAGCGCGGGUAUCAAACAGGAUUAGAUACCCUGGUAGUCCGCGCUGUAAACGAUGAUUACUGGUUGUUUGCGAUAUACAGUGAGCGACUGAGCAAAAGCAUUAAGUAAUCCACCU
This 519-nucleotide ribosomal RNA is filed under the name uncultured bacterium. Its description in RNAcentral is "bacterial SSU rRNA". It matches the Rfam family "Bacterial small subunit ribosomal RNA", at positions 355 to 874 of the family's 1533-position model. The record is from RNAcentral.